GCCAGCAGCCGCGGUAAUACGUAGGGUGCGAGCGUUGUCCGGAAUUAUUGGGCGUAAAGAGCUCGUAGGCGGUCUGUCGCGUCUGCUGUGAAAACCCGAGGCUCAACCUCGGGCCUGCAGUGGGUACGGGCAGACUAGAGUGCGGUAGGGGAGAAUGGAAUUCCUGGCGUAGCGGUGGAAUGCGCAGAUAUCAGGAGGAACACCGAUGGCGAAGGCAGUUCUCUGGGCCGUAACUGACGCCGAGGAGCGAAAGCGUGGGGAGCGAACAGGAUUAGAUACCCUGGUAGUCCACGCCGUAAACGUUGGGCGCUAGAUGUGGGGAUCAUUCCACGGUUUCCGUGUCGCAGCUAACGCAUUAAGCGCCCCGCCUGGGGAGUACGGCCGCAAGGCUAAAACUCAAAGGAAUUGACGGGGGCCCGCACAAGCGGCGGAGCAUGCGGAUUAAUUCGAUGCAACGCGAAGAACCUUACCAAGGCUUGACAUACACGAGAACGCCCUAGAAAUAGGGAACUCUUUGGACACUCGUGAACAGGUGGUGCAUGGUUGUCGUCAGCUCGUGUCGUGAGAUGCUGGGUUAAGUCCCGCAACGAGCGCAACCCUCGUUCUAUGUUGCCAGCGCGUAAUGGCGGGAACUCAUAGGAGACUGCCGGGGUUAACUCGGAGGAAGGUGGGGAUGACGUCAAAUCAUCAUGCCCCUUAUGUCUUGGGCUUCACGCAUGCUACAAUGGCCGGUACAAAGGGCUGCAAUACCGUAAGGUGGAGCGAAUCCCAAAAAGCCGGUCUCAGUUCGGAUUGAGGUCUGCAACUCGACCUCAUGAAGUCGGAGUCGCUAGUAAUCGCAGAUCAGCAACGCUGCGGUGAAUACGUUCCCGGGCCUUGUACACACCGCCCGUG
This 894-nucleotide ribosomal RNA is filed under the name uncultured Leifsonia sp. RNAcentral's name for it is "bacterial SSU rRNA". It matches the Rfam family "Bacterial small subunit ribosomal RNA", at positions 507 to 1398 of the family's 1533-position model. Lineage: Bacteria; Bacillati; Actinomycetota; Actinomycetes; Micrococcales; Microbacteriaceae. The record is from RNAcentral.